UGGCGGACGGGUGAGUAAUGUCUGGGAAACUGCCUGAUGGAGGGGGAUAACUACUGGAAACGGUAGCUAAUACCGCAUAACGUCGCGAGACCAAAGAGGGGGACCUUCGGGCCUCUUGCCAUCGGAUGUGCCCAGAUGGGAUUAGCUAGUAGGUGGGGUAACGGCUCACCUAGGCGACGAUCCCUAGCUGGUCUGAGAGGAUGACCAGCCACACUGGAACUGAGACACGGUCCAGACUCCUACGGGAGGCAGCAUG
This 256-nucleotide ribosomal RNA is filed under the name uncultured bacterium. RNAcentral describes it as "partial 16S ribosomal RNA". It matches the Rfam family "Bacterial small subunit ribosomal RNA", at positions 96 to 353 of the family's 1533-position model. The record is from RNAcentral.